This is a non-coding RNA of Pelobates cultripes (western spadefoot toad), 1120 nucleotides long. Lineage: Eukaryota; Metazoa; Chordata; Amphibia; Anura; Pelobatidae. The record is from the annotation of a GenBank genome assembly.
AAGAGCAUGCACCAGAGGCUGCCUGCCAGACUCACUCCGGGCACGGGAUCCAUGGGGAGGUACACCCGCCACACCGCCCAACCAUCCGGAGGGCACCCCGCAAUGUACAGAGCCCCAAAACCCAAGCACACGCUGGGCGAGGCACUGCCACAUUAUCACCCACCAAGCGACGUACCACAAAGCAGAGGAAAACGGAGAAGCGGCGGAGGGCGGUCAGACGCCACCAGUACAAGAGCUCUUACUAUCGACCUACCUCUGGCCUCCAGAAAAAGCAAAGACCAAGCGGAGUGACCCGAACAGCCGUGCCACCAAACGGGACACUCAUCCAGCAUCGAAACCCCCCAGGGGGGAACUCAGAGGUACCACAGUGUGCCCUGGGAGCUUCCCUGAAACUAGGGAUUGGCUGAGCCGGAGACUCCCUGAGGACAGAGGACUAAGCAACUAAUCUCUGAGUCCCCUAUACUAUUGAUGGACAUAAUGCGAUACCAUACCGUCUUAGUUAGCCUGUAUCCCAGCAGUUAAUUAACUUAUUAACCAGCGAGCACUUAACAUUUCUAUAAACCUUUUAAUAUGUAUCUCGCAGACUUUCACCCUAUUACUAGGACAUCUCACCUUUUAUACACCCUUAACUUACUUAGUGCAGACAGUAUGCCUAGCUUGAGUCGAAUGUCCAUAGUUAAAUAGUGCAGAACCAUUAAGAUCGCCAUAUAACGCAAAACGCUGGAAUAUACGUCUCAUUAGGCAACGUGUUUUAUCAAUCUUGUGGGCAGAUUACUGUCUACCUAUAUGCAUUAUUUUUAUCAUACUUAAUCAUCUUAGCUAAGGGUGUUUUCUUGUUAUCAAAUGUUAUAGUGGUGACUCCUCAUGUCCUAUGCAUAACUGGUCUGUCGUGUUUAAACUUUCUAAUACAUCUAGGCACGCUAUAUCUCGUUAAUCAUCAGAUGACUACUCAUGUAUAUCCAACCUACACCUGUGCUUCCUGAUGCAUUAUUGGGAUUUCUUACAAUGUUUAUUUUUCCUUCCACUCUUACAAAAAAUUGUGCAGAUUGUCUUGACAUGCAAACUACUUUUGUCUCCCUACUGUUCAUGGAUAUACGAUAUGUCAAUGCAUACCUGUGUU